UGAAAUACUGGUUCUCAUCUGAUCACCAAAGUUAAGCAAUGUUGAACCUGAUCAGUACCUAGAUGGGUGACCACAUGGGGAAUACUAGAUGC
Non-coding RNA from Acanthosepion pharaonis, 92 nucleotides. NCBI's taxonomy places the organism in Eukaryota, Metazoa, Mollusca, Cephalopoda, Sepiida, Sepiidae. The record is from the annotation of a GenBank genome assembly.